Molecule: long non-coding RNA, 1152 nt
Organism: Oncorhynchus tshawytscha (Chinook salmon)
Lineage: Eukaryota; Metazoa; Chordata; Actinopteri; Salmoniformes; Salmonidae
Exons: 3
Source: RefSeq, a predicted model, not a curated record
UACUUUAUAGAAUUACAGCCUGAUGCGCUUGCAUCUUUGAAUUCAACGUCAGUUACGCAGCUUUUGUAUGUCCAGUUAACAGCACGCAGCGGAGGGAAAGUGUACAUAGAUACAUGCCACAGUCCUAGCUAGGCUACUAAAAUGUUGCAGUCUGGCUUUUUAAACUUGACAAUGAAUCAAAACAGAAAAAACGAGACAUGAAUGGGAGGGGGACAGAACCCCUCUAAUGAAAGUCAAGAAGGACCAAUGUUUGGCGGGGUCAUUUGCAGAAUCCAAAUUAUCAGCAUUGUGUAUCCUACUUUUGGUGGAGCCAGAGAGUAUCUUCUAACAUUCCAACACCUGCACCCGUCAUCACAAAAGGUGGCUCCAAGCAGAGGCAGUGCCCCCUACAGGAUAACCCUGUCAUUGCAGACAGUCCAGACUUUAUGCUGCCCCCCUUCCACCCGUACCAGCCCUUGGAGUCCAUUGUGAAAGAGACAGAGUGCAAGCUGAUCUCCAGCCAUAGAGAAGACCCAGCUGCAGAAUAAGAUGAUCCUCAAGGAGCAGUAAACUAAAGAGUAAAUGAAGGCCGAAGGCCUGAACGAUGACCCGGGCAGCCCCUUCGCACUUUGGCCUCCCAGCAGUCCAGACUUUAGUACAGCAGACUACCCCGACAGCUCCAGCCCUGACCUGCUGAUGCUGAUGGUGAGUCAGCAGUAGAUGUUGGGGCAGCAGUUGACAGGCUUGGGACCGGCCUUCUCACCCAGGCCCCCGACGGACUACUAGUGGCCUUCCCCCUACAGAUCGUCACAGACACGCCGGUUGACAUCAUGGCAGAUACAGUGCCUUCCAAAAGUAUUCACACCCUUUUCAGCACAUUUUGUUGUGUUACAAAGUGGGAUACAAAUUGAUUUAAUUGUCAUUUUUUGUCAACGACUCUAACACUUGUAGAAUUCUAACACUUGUAAAAAUGUACAGUUUAAAAAAGGAAAAUAAAACACUUGAUUAGAUAAGUAUUCAACCCCCUGAGUUAAUACACCUUUUGCAACAUUUACAGCAGUGAGUCUUUCUGAGUAAGUCUCUUAAGAGCUUUGCAUACCUGAAUUGUACAAUAUUUGCCCAUUAUUCUUUUUUAAAUUCUUCAAGCUUUUUAAAUUCUUCAAGUUGGUUGUU